RNAcentral lists this long non-coding RNA (690 nucleotides) under Arachis ipaensis. Its description in RNAcentral is "long non-coding RNA (AIPA_LNC000780)". The record is from RNAcentral. Lineage: Eukaryota; Viridiplantae; Streptophyta; Magnoliopsida; Fabales; Fabaceae.
UUAGGUAAAAAAGCCCAAACAUUAAUACCUUAUAUGGACAUUAAGAUGGGUUAUUAUUAUUAUUAUUAUCACAAAAACACAAGCAACAAGAUAGAAAACAAAAUACAAACCACAAAAAAAAUUCUCACACUAAUAUAAUAUCCCCCACGCCAUGGAACUUUCUCACAUGGUCACAUUUACCCCCAUGCACUAGCUAGUGUGCAAGACUAACUAGAGAUAUAGCAGAUGAUGCACACCUCAAGGUCUUUUUAUUUAGUUUAUUUAUAAGUUGAUAUUAAUUAAGCGAGGUUGUUUCUGUGUGGAGGAUAUGUUAAUUACUGAACCCUAAUUCAGAUGAGAAGGGAAGCCCCUUGGAAUAGGACCAUAGUAUUCUUUUGAAAUAGUGGGUCCAAUUCUUCUUGGGUCUUCAACCAAUUCUGAGUCUCCAACUGGAAUAACAGGAAUGAGUGGGAGUGGAAUAUGGUUGUGACCAUAGUACAUGUUGGGUCGGUAAUAGUACACAUUGUGUCUAUGAAGUGCUCCAAUUGGGAUGGGCUUUUUUGGCCCAAAGUGAGGAUGUGCUAGGCUCAAGCUCAUGCUUGACAAUGUUACGACAAUUAAGAAAAUUUUGAUGAAGGAUUGACCAUAUGCCAUGGUUUGAUAUAUAGUGAAUAAAUAUUUAUAUAAUUGUAUCCAAGAGUUUUGAUUAAG